AACGCUAGCUACAGGCUUAACACAUGCAAGUCGAGGGGCAGCAUGGUCUUAGCUUGCUAAGGCCGAUGGCGACCGGCGCACGGGUGAGUAACACGUAUCCAACCUGCCGUCUACUCUUGGGCAGCCUUCUGAAAGGAAGAUUAAUACAAGAUGGCAUCAUGAGUUCACAUGUUCACAUGAUUAAAGGUAUUCCGGUAGACGAUGGGGAUGCGUUCCAUUAGAUAGUAGGCGGGGUAACGGCCCACCUAGUCUUCGAUGGAUAGGGGUUCUGAGAGGAAGGUCCCCCACAUCGGAACUGAGACACGGUCCAAACUCCUACGGGAGGCAGCAGUGAGGAAUAUUGGUCAAUGGGCGCAGGCCUGAACCAGCCAAGUAGCGUGAAGGAUGACUGCCCUAUGGGUUGUAAACUUCUUUUACAAAGGAAUAAAGUCGGGUAUGUAUACCCGUUUGCAUGUACUUUAUGAAUAAGGAUCGGCUAACUCCGUGCCAGCAGCCGUGGUAAUACGGAGGAUUCGAGCGUUAUCCGGAUUUAUUGGGUUUAAAGGGAGCGUAGAUGGAUGUUUAAGUCAGUUGUGAAAGUUUGCGGCUCAACCGUAAAAUUGCAGUUGAUACUGGAUAUCUUGAGUGCAGUUGAGGCAGGCGGAAUUCGUGGUGUAGCGGUGAAAUGCUUAGAUAUCACGAAGAACUCCGAUUG
Molecule: ribosomal RNA, 694 nt
Filed under: uncultured bacterium
Lineage: Bacteria
Description: bacterial SSU rRNA
Rfam family: Bacterial small subunit ribosomal RNA
Source: RNAcentral